GACGAACGCUGGCGGCGUGCUUAACACAUGCAAGUCGAACGAUGAAGCUGGAGCUUGCUCCGGUGGAUUAGUGGCGAACGGGUGAGUAACACGUGAGCAAUCUGCCCCUGACUCUGGGAUAACUGCGGGAAACUGUAGCUAAUACCGGAUACUUUCACUGGAAGGCAUCUUCUGGUGAAGAAAGAAUUUCGGUCAAGGAUGAGCUCGCGGCCUAUCAGCUUGUUGGUGAGGUAACGGCUCACCAAGGCGACGACGGGUAGCCGGCCUGAGAGGGUGACCGGCCACACUGGGACUGAGACACGGCCCAGACUCCUACGGGAGGCAGCAGUGGGGAAUAUUGCACAAUGGGCGCAAGCCUGAUGCAGCAACGCCGCGUGAGGGAUGAAGGCCUUCGGGUUGUAAACCUCUUUUAGCAGGGAAGAGGCGAAAGUGACGGUACCUGCAGAAAAAGCACCGGCUAACUACGUGCCAGCAGCCGCCGUAA
This 484-nucleotide ribosomal RNA is filed under the name uncultured bacterium. RNAcentral describes it as "partial 16S ribosomal RNA". It matches the Rfam family "Bacterial small subunit ribosomal RNA", at positions 28 to 523 of the family's 1533-position model. The record is from RNAcentral.